CCAAGACACAACGGAACAAUGGUUACAAUAUUCAUGGUGAAAAUGAUUUUCAGUUAUCCAUCAGGGAUAAUAAUAGACUAAAGAUAUUUUUUAAACAACUUAGAGAAUUUAUUUAGAAAGUAGAAAAUAAAAAGUAUGACUCUAGCAUCUAUUUAGAAUAUGAACAAAACUAGAAACAGUUAAACUACAGAAAAAAAGGCAGAGAUCCUGAAGUUGGCUUAAUGGCUAUCCAGUACAAACAGGCAAAACCCAAGUUACUUUCAUGCAAAUAAGCAUUAAGAAAAAGAAUAUGGGAAUGUUUACAGAAUGUGUCAUGGCAAAUAUUUUUCAAAUUUACAUAAGAAACUGUACAUAAAUGAGGCAAUUUACAAGAAUUAGGUAAUUUACAAGAAAUGUUUUACAGGUUACAGUAGGAUAUAACUUAUUAUGAAUAAAAUUUGUAGCACAUCAUACAUUUUUACAUCACAGAUUCAGUGUUAAAAGAAUUCAGACAUGAUAAAACUUAGACUUG
Cercocebus atys (sooty mangabey) is the source of this 511-nucleotide long non-coding RNA. RefSeq lists it as uncharacterized. Lineage: Eukaryota; Metazoa; Chordata; Mammalia; Primates; Cercopithecidae. The transcript has 2 exons. The record is from RefSeq and is a predicted model, not a curated record.